RNAcentral lists this ribosomal RNA (253 nucleotides) under uncultured bacterium. RNAcentral's name for it is "partial 16S ribosomal RNA". It matches the Rfam family "Bacterial small subunit ribosomal RNA", at positions 524 to 776 of the family's 1533-position model. The record is from RNAcentral.
UACGUAGGGACCAAGCGUUGUCCGGAAUCAUUGGGCGUAAAGCGCGCGUAGGUGGCCAUUUAAGUCCGCUGUGAAAGUCAGAGGCUCAACCUUUGAAAGCCGGUGGAUACUGGAUGGCUAGAGUACGGAAGAGGCGAGUGGAAUUCCUGGUGUAGCGGUGGAAUGCGCAGAUAUCAGGAGGAACACCAAUAGCGAAGGCAGCUCGCUGGGACGUUACUGACACUGAGGCGCGACAGCGUGGGGAGCAAACAGG